RNAcentral lists this long non-coding RNA (663 nucleotides) under Homo sapiens (human). RNAcentral's name for it is "non-protein coding lnc-FTH1-7:1". Lineage: Eukaryota; Metazoa; Chordata; Mammalia; Primates; Hominidae. The record is from RNAcentral.
AGAGCUCACUGAAACUGUCAGACUUACCUGCAAGGGCCUGGGAUUCUAAAUUUCACUCUGUCACUCUUGGAGGUGAGGGGAAAGCUGUAUGGGCAUUGAGGUGACAUUUCUGGGCUUUGAUGUCUCCAUAGGAAAGGACAUAUAAAUACAAAAUGUGGUUAACCCUAAUUAACCCCUAAUUCAGACCGUUGGGGACAGAACCAAGGUCUAUUAAUUUUUUCUAAAAAAGGAAGGAAAUUAGAAAAGAAUGUUUCUCUCGAUUGUGUAGAAGAGUUGGACGAGGUGAACAUUCCGCUGGGUGGCUCUGUCACAAACUAGCUUUUGUUCAAUCAUUCAAGACAUAUCGACUGCCAAACACUGCUCUAGGCUCCUGAAAAAAUGAUCAUGGCAAGACAGUUACAGACCAUGCCUCUUCAUGGAACUUACCAAGAUGUGUGCUUGGGGAAACACACUGACUGUCUUUGGACUACUUGUUUCUUAAUUAAUUAGUAAUAGCUGACACUUAGGGAGCACUUACCACAUACCAGUUUCUGUGCGAAACCCUCACUUUGCACUCCUUUUAAAAAUAGCUAUUUUCUGGCCAGACAUGGUGGCUCACGCCUGUAAUCCCAGCACUUUAUGAGGCUGAGGUGGGUGGAUCACCUGAGGUCAGGAGUUCGAGAC